Molecule: ribosomal RNA, 262 nt
Filed under: uncultured prokaryote
Description: partial 16S ribosomal RNA
Rfam family: Bacterial small subunit ribosomal RNA
Source: RNAcentral
UACGUAGGGUGCGAGCGUUAAUCGGAAUUACUGGGCGUAAAGAGCUCGUAGGUGGUUUGUCACGUCGUCUGUGAAAUUCCGGGGCUUAACCUCGGGCGUGCAGGCGAUACGGGCAAUACUUGAGUGCUGUAGGGGAGACUGGAAUUCCUGGUGUAGCGGUGAAAUGCGCAGAUAUCAGGAGGAACACCAAUGGCGAAGGCAGGUCUCUGGGCCACUACUGACGCUGAGAAGCGAAAGCAUGGGGAGCGAACAGGAUUAGAUA